UUGAGAUGGCGGCGUGUCUGGCGGCAAGAGAGUGUAACUUUCAUGUGCAUGUGAACUUACGCUGUAGGAAUAGUGUGUUCAUCAUCUAUUGAAGGACCUAGAAGUCACGGAUUAUCUGAAAACCAAGCCAACACUCCAGAAGGCAAGGAUCGAUACCCGCCUGACAGCAGCAGCGAGACAUGAUAGGCACUAUAGGAGUAUAGCUAAAGCUCUAGUAUCUAAUUGGGACUAGAACACAGCUCCUUGUCUCCUCACCUGCUGAGUACAUCUAUUCUACACACAAUUAGCAGG
Portunus trituberculatus (swimming crab) is the source of this 291-nucleotide long non-coding RNA. RefSeq lists it as uncharacterized. The record is from RefSeq and is a predicted model, not a curated record. NCBI's taxonomy places the organism in Eukaryota, Metazoa, Arthropoda, Malacostraca, Decapoda, Portunidae. The transcript is spliced from 3 exons.